AGAGUUUGAUCAUGGCUCAGGACGAACGCUGGCGGCGUGCUUAACACAUGCAAGUCGAACGGAAAGGCCCUUCGGGGUACUCGAGUGGCGAACGGGUGAGUAACACGUGGGUGAUCUGCCCUGCACUUUGGGAUAAGCCUGGGAAACUGGGUCUAAUACCGAAUAGGACCACGCGCUUCAUGGUGUGUGGUGGAAAGCUUUUGCGGUGUGGGAUGGGCCCGCGGCCUAUCAGCUUGUUGGUGGGGUAAUGGCCUACCAAGGCGACGACGGGUAGCCGGCCUGAGAGGGUGACCGGCCACACUGGGACUGAGAUACGGCCCAGACUCCUACGGGAGGCAGCAGUGGGGAAUAUUGCACAAUGGGCGCAAGCCUGAUGCAGCGACGCCGCGUGAGGGAUGACGGCCUUCGGGUUGUAAACCUCUUUCAAUAGGGACGAAGCGCAAGUGACGGUACCUAUAGAAGAAGCACCGGCCAACUACGUGCCAGCCGCCGCGGUAAUUC
This 501-nucleotide ribosomal RNA is filed under the name uncultured bacterium. RNAcentral's name for it is "bacterial SSU rRNA". It matches the Rfam family "Bacterial small subunit ribosomal RNA", at positions 8 to 526 of the family's 1533-position model. The record is from RNAcentral.